GACGAACGCUGGCGGCGUGCUUAACACAUGCAAGUCGAACGGAAAGGCCCUGCUUUUGUGGGGUGCUCGAGUGGCGAACGGGUGAGUAACACGUGAGUAACCUGCCCUUGACUUUGGGAUAACUUCAGGAAACUGGGGCUAAUACCGGAUAGGAGCUCCUGCUGCAUGGUGGGGGUUGGAAAGUUUCGGCGGUUGGGGAUGGACUCGCGGCUUAUCAGCUUGUUGGUGGGGUAGUGGCUUACCAAGGCGUUGACGGGUAGCCGGCCUGAGAGGGUGACCGGCCACAUUGGGACUGAGAUACGGCCAAGACUGCUACGGGAGGCAGCAGUGGGGAAUAUUGCACAAUGGGCGGAAGCCUGAUGCAGCAACGCCGCGUGCGGGAUGACGGCCUUCGGGUUGUAAACCGCUUUCGCCUGUGACGAAGCGUGAGUGACGGUAAUGGGUAAAGAAGCACCGGCUAACUACGUG
This 468-nucleotide ribosomal RNA is filed under the name uncultured bacterium. RNAcentral describes it as "partial 16S ribosomal RNA". It matches the Rfam family "Bacterial small subunit ribosomal RNA", at positions 28 to 507 of the family's 1533-position model. The record is from RNAcentral.